Molecule: unclassified non-coding RNA, 175 nt
Filed under: uncultured fungus
Lineage: Eukaryota; Fungi
Description: sequence contains ITS1, 5.8S rRNA gene
Source: RNAcentral
ACGAAAUACAAGUCGGCGGAUUGUGCUGGCGCUCUGCGCAUGUGCACGUCCGCUGCAAAUCCACACACCUGUGCACUUUAGACUCCGAGCGAGCGGACCUUAGGGUCUGCACCUCGGAGUAUUUUACACACACGCAUGUAAAAGGAUGAUGUUAGUGCUAUGCACGAAAAACAUA